RNAcentral lists this ribosomal RNA (253 nucleotides) under uncultured bacterium. RNAcentral describes it as "partial 16S ribosomal RNA". It matches the Rfam family "Bacterial small subunit ribosomal RNA", at positions 524 to 776 of the family's 1533-position model. The record is from RNAcentral.
UACGUAGGGGGCAAGCGUUGUCCGGAAUCAUUGGGCGUAAAGCGCGUGUAGGCGGCCCGGUAAGUCCGCUGUAAAAGUCCAGGGCUCAACCCUGGAAAGCCGGUGGAUACUGUCGGGCUCGAGUACGGAAGAGGCGAGUGGAAUUCCUGGUGUAGCGGUGAAAUGCGCAGAUAUCAGGAGGAACACCAAUUGCGAAGGCAGCUCGCUGGGACGUUACUGACGCUGAGACGCGAAAGCGUGGGGAGCAAACAGG